Molecule: ribosomal RNA, 444 nt
Filed under: Enterococcus faecium TX0133C
Lineage: Bacteria; Bacillati; Bacillota; Bacilli; Lactobacillales; Enterococcaceae
Description: bacterial SSU rRNA
Rfam family: Bacterial small subunit ribosomal RNA
Source: RNAcentral
GAGAGUUUGAUCCUGGCUCAGGACGAACGCUGGCGGCGUGCCUAAUACAUGCAAGUCGAACGCUUCUUUUUCCACCGGAGCUUGCUCCACCGGAAAAAGAGGAGUGGCGAACGGGUGAGUAACACGUGGGUAACCUGCCCAUCAGAAGGGGAUAACACUUGGAAACAGGUGCUAAUACCGUAUAACAAUCAAAACCGCAUGGUUUUGAUUUGAAAGGCGCUUUCGGGUGUCGCUGAUGGAUGGACCCGCGGUGCAUUAGCUAGUUGGUGAGGUAACGGCUCACCAAGGCCACGAUGCAUAGCCGACCUGAGAGGGUGAUCGGCCACAUUGGGACUGAGACACGGCCCAAACUCCUACGGGAGGCAGCAGUAGGGAAUCUUCGGCAAUGGACGAAAGUCUGACCGAGCAACGCCGCGUGAGUGAAGAAGGUUUUCGGAUCGUAAA